This 31-nucleotide non-coding RNA is filed under the name Mus musculus (house mouse). Lineage: Eukaryota; Metazoa; Chordata; Mammalia; Rodentia; Muridae. The record is from RNAcentral.
UAAGGAUCCUGUUCAAUCCAUGGUUACCUUC